GGAAGAACAUGAAAUCCAUCAGCAAAGUCAAGCAUCAAGCUUAAAUGUACCUCUUGUAAUAGAAUGAAAACAAAACAAAAACAAAAGCCUGUUAGCAAGUAAGAACGCCUUCGUUAGGCUCGGUUCACGUACGUUUGCCUAGUGCAGUGCAGCAUAUGAAUGUAAACGGCGAUGGACUCAUCAAAUAGGCUGAAUUUAACAAGCCUCUUGUUAAAUAUAUUUUGAAGCGUACGUGAUUACAAAUUCAAUUACAUCAACCACCUGCUUUGUUCUUCCCUUG
This 280-nucleotide long non-coding RNA is filed under the name Gossypium barbadense (sea-island cotton). RNAcentral's name for it is "long non-coding RNA (GBAR_LNC020482)". Lineage: Eukaryota; Viridiplantae; Streptophyta; Magnoliopsida; Malvales; Malvaceae. The record is from RNAcentral.